Molecule: long non-coding RNA, 1706 nt
Organism: Daphnia carinata
Lineage: Eukaryota; Metazoa; Arthropoda; Branchiopoda; Diplostraca; Daphniidae
Exons: 6
Source: RefSeq, a predicted model, not a curated record
AUGCAAGGUACGAGAAAAACUGAAGUUGAUUACAGUUUUGAUGUCAACUAAAUUCGCGGAUUUAGGCGUUUGAUCCGCAUUUCAUACAAUUCCCCUAGACAUAAAAACCAAAGUACCCAGGUUUCUCGCCGUUCCUGUAUCCUAGAUAAUAUAGGCACGUGGUACAGAAUUUAAAUUUUCAGACGAACAUAUUUUGCCUUGAAAAAAUGGAAGAAACUUUAGAAAAUCUGUCUAAGAGAAUUAAAGAGAAAGAGGAGAUACUAAGAAAGCUUAAAAUGAUUAAACUACACAGAAUGAAGCAUAGUACCGAUCAACUUGAAAGACUUAUCAAAGAAUGGACAGGGAUCUGCCAACAAACUCUUCAAGACCUGCAACAAAAGUUGGCAGAAAAGGGAUCUGAUUCAGCAGCCAUUAGCAUUUCAGAACUUCUCAAGCAUUUAAAUAUUGAACCAGAGCUUGUUGGCUACUGUAUUGAAGACGAGGCAUUCACAGACUGAAUAGUAUAUUCAAUCGCUUCAAGUAUUAUAUAAUGCUGCUACUGAUACAUGGCUCAAGUUUCUCCCAGUGCCAUAAGCGAGUGGGAUAGUGCAAGACAUGACGACCGGAAAACUAACGUCCGUUCAGUGAAUCAAAAACGGUAUCCGAAAUCAAUGGAAAACUGGGAUCCCUGCUAAUAGAUGGACGGGCCAAAGAAGACCCACUCGCGCCCUAUCGAUUUGAAUGGACUGUAGAGCGACCUAUGACCUCCUAUUAUCUCGGUCAACCUUCUCCACACUCGGAAGCAAAUUAGGCUCGAAGAGCAUGGAGGUCAGAUAAAUGUUCACACUCUCAUUAGCAGUGCAACGUGUGCCUGUCAACUAAUUGUCUCACAAUAUACUUUUUGCCAAUUUUGCCAGGGAAUCAACAAAAUCCAUUACGCUUUUUCUUUGAAAAGUGAUUUGCUUAAAACAGUCAAUUUGACCAUGUAGCACAGCUUAUAUCCGGUUACUGUGUUGACUUUUGUUUUCCUUUAAAACAAAAGAUCUUUUUGGGCGGGCGAUUGACGUUUGCUAAAUUACCCAGACAAUUGGCGACGACUUGGACCUACAUACAUCAAUUAUUCGGACAUUGGUGGAAGAAAGCGUUGUAAAUUUUCGCUUUCUAGCGACUGGCGUUUCAUCUUUAGUCUUCUUCUCUCAACGUUUGUUAUAUACCCGAAAAGUUUGUUUAACGAGAACACACUGACAAAAAGGGAAGAAAAAAGUUUGAGAGUUGUGAUCUUUUUCCGGACCGUUGCAGCUGUUCGGGCUGUCUCCCUUUCUCUGUCUCUUUUAUUUUAUUAUUAUUUUUUUUUUCUUAUUUCAGAAUUAGAGAAAAAAAAAAAUAGUAUGGAGGAAAACAGCAGUUGCCGCCUACUUGUUGUGCGGCGCAAAGUGGAGCUGAAAGCCGCGCUCCAUCCGAAAAAAAAAGAGCCUUAUGAAAUCACGUGUCACUUUCACGAGAUUUUGACAGCCCUAAUGAACUUUCUCUUUCUACGCACGGCCGCCUUCCGCUUAUUUCGGAAACAACAGGAAAAAAAGAAACGUUCGGCCAUGAAUUCUGAGCAUCUUUGGGAGGAUGAAAUUGUCAGACUGUGCUGGUGUUGGUUGGUGCAGUGGUUGUCGUGCAAGUUGUAGCCAAACUCUCGACAAUGAAACUGAGUCGAUCGAGACUGGAUGAACCCGGAG